Loxodonta africana (African savanna elephant) is the source of this 2203-nucleotide long non-coding RNA. RefSeq lists it as uncharacterized. Lineage: Eukaryota; Metazoa; Chordata; Mammalia; Proboscidea; Elephantidae. The record is from RefSeq and is a predicted model, not a curated record. The transcript is spliced from 3 exons.
GUGGUAUUUCUGUUAUAGCAGCACUAGAUGACUAAGACAGUUCUGUAUCUUGGUUUAGGAGAAUAUAUGAAUCCACCGAUGUGCUAAAAGACAGAUCUGUAUGCACACAUUAUACCAAUGUCAAUUUCCUUGUUCUGAUAUUAUACUACUAUGUAAAUUGUAACUAUUGGAAGGAACUGGAUUAAGGACCUCUCUGUACUAUCUUUGAUACUUCCAGUCAAUCUAAAAUUUUUUCAAAAUGAAAUGUUAAAUAAACCAAUGUUUGACUUAAUUGAGUAGCCUAAACAUUGUAUGAUUAGAAAAGAAAAUGAUGGAGAUUUUACUUAAAAAAAAAAAAUUGGUUCAGGUAGAAAAUCAACCUAAAAGAUCAGCUAGAACCAUUGGUGAAAAAGCAAAGUAUAGGGUCGGUUACAAUUCCAUGUGCUUAGAUUGUUGUUGUUAAGCGCCACGAGUUGGUUCUGACUCAUAGUGACCCUUUGUACUACAAAACGAAAUACUGCCUGGUCCUGCGCCAUCCUCACAACUGUUGCAUCCUCUAACUCUUGCACCUCCUCCCCUCAAAUAUGUUUUUUCUUCCUAUUUAAAUAAGAAUACACAUUUAAAAGUUCCUCCCCGUCAUUGAAUAAUUGACAAUAUUUAUGUACAAACUUGAGAAAGAACAUCUGAGCAUAAAAAUCUUUAUUCUGUGUUAUUGUCUCUAUUUAAGGGGUAGAAAUUACUUAUAUUAAAUCAAAUAUUUUGCUGUACUUAUCAAUAGCAAACAUAUCCACUGUGCUAUAUGUGAUAUUUUGGAAAAAAAGACAUUAUUAAUGGUGAACCAAAAUUUUGCACAUUUACAAAUAUAUAUCUGAACACACAAAGUACCAGAUUCAUAUCACUUCCCAAUCAUAAUCAUAUUUACUCAUAUGUUUAUUUUUUUGAAUAGGUGUUCUGGAGCUGUGAUACUAGCCACAAUGUGGAGCAGCAACUAAGCGUGAUCACUCAGUAUGACAACGAUCUGCAGAGGCAGGAGACAGCUUGUGGAUAGAUACAGCAUUCAGCAGCACAUGUUUACAAGUCAGACAGUCACCAACCUCUUCGAUGACAGCCUGUUUGCACCUUUAAGAGUGAGACCCAGAAUCAAGAAUUGACUGAAAAUGGACUGAAAAUUCCAUAUUUACAACUGUCAAAAGAGUAACAGCAAAAGACAUAUUUAAUCACAAUGGAAAGGUUGACAGUUGAAACCCACCCAGUGACACCGAAGAAGAAAGGCCUGGUGAUCUGCUUCUGUAAAGAUUUCAGCCAAGAAAACCAUAUGAAGCAGUUCUAUAACACAUGGAGUCGCCAUGAGUCUGACUCAACUCUGUGGCACUGGGUUUAGUUUUUUGGUUUUAAUGAGAAAUACCAAAUAAUAUGGAUUUCAGAAAACAGAGAGAGUAUAUUUACUGUAAGGGAUCAAACCACUAUCUCUUACAAAUAUUGGUAUGCACAUAAUGUGGUUUAAUAAAUGGAAAUUUAUCUAUUCCUGAAUCUUAGUGUAUGGCUUACAAACUCAUCCGUGAUUGGACACCUGUGGUGGGAAUAAUACAGUUUAGGCUUUGGUAUUUCUUGACUUUUCGUUAUUUUAUUUCAUCCACAGUGUUUAGUAAGACUGCCUGGUUAAUUUUUAUUACCUUUAUACAUUAUUGAUAUUGGUUUUUCUAUCUGUUGGGAAAUCUUUCCUUUUUGUUAUUAUCGUAGACUAAAAUAAAAUAAUAUUGUCAAAAUUGCAUGAAAAUGUUCUUAUUCCAUUAAUGUUGUAUGUGGUGGUGCAAUGGUUAAGUGCUUGUCUGCUAACCGAAAGGUUGAUGGUUUGAGCCCAUCAACAGCGCCAUGGGAGAAAAGACCGGGCUAUGUGUUCCCAUGAAGAUUACAGCCUAGGAAACCCUAAGGGGCAUGUCUGCCCAGUCCUAUAGGAUGUCUAUGAGUUGGAAUUGACUUGAUGGCACACAGCAACAACAACUAUUCACUACAUGAAGAAUCUCUUCGACUUAACUAGGUCUUUUCUUGAUUUCUCUCUAGAUUCCAGUGGUUGAUAAUGACAUUUAUAAAGUUUCAAAUAAAAAAUUGUGUCUGCUGAUUUUAAAAAGAGCCUCAAUAAAUAAAAUUAAUAGUUAUAUUGUCAUAAGGUUGAUAUAUUCUACAUUUGCCUAACAAAUAGAAUGGCUCAAUGUUCUAAGGAAUC